RNAcentral lists this ribosomal RNA (267 nucleotides) under Triticum aestivum (bread wheat). RNAcentral's name for it is "partial small subunit ribosomal RNA". The record is from RNAcentral. Lineage: Eukaryota; Viridiplantae; Streptophyta; Magnoliopsida; Poales; Poaceae.
AUGUGGAAUGACGAUCUUAAGGUUUCUGUUCGUAGUUCUUCCUUCCACUUUAUCUUAGCGGAUGUAGUUCAUCUAGCCUCGGGGGUUCACUUUUGUUUGGUUUGUAUAUAUGGUGACCCCUACCAUAGGCAGACUAGUGACAUUUGGAAUCAGAUCUCCACUUUUGUGUAUGAUAACUUUGGCAAACCCAUGAUCUGUAUGGGUGAUCUUAACGAUAUUUUGUAUGAUACGGAUGGUUGCAAUGGUACUGUUAAUUAUUAUCGUUUG